AAGACAUUACUUGAUUUAUAGCAGGUGAAAAUUAGGAAAAAUGAACAUGUGGAUUCCAUCUUUUAGGUGUGAUUUUCCACUCUAAGGGAACUUCCCUGUUUCUCCCUUUUCCAAAUCUAGAAUCUGAGUAUAGAAAGAAGCAUAUAUACCUUUAUGUCAUUCAUCCUGUAAGGUAACGGCACCUGAGGGUUUAUGUAAGAGGUGCCAUGUGGGUCUGUUGAAAUAUUUUGCUGUAGUCUACCCUUUUGUCUAAUCCAGGCACCUUUUGUCUCAGCUGUGGCACUGAAGAAAUUCUGAAUUCUUGUACACACCAAAAACAGGUGAUAGUAGCAGUUAAUUCUGAGGAAAUAGAUGUGGUCUUUUAAAUUCAGUUUUUCUCUUCUUCUUCUUUUAAGCUUCACCACCCAGGACCAGAAAGACUUUCCCCAUUUCUGCCUUUUAAAUUACACCCAUGAUUCACAUAAAACUGAAUAAGAUAAGCUACUCUUCAGCUUCUUAAAUGGAUGAUCAUUCAGUCUACUGCCCCAAAUUAAAACUGAGCAACUUAACUACCAUAUAUGCAUGGUAGAGCGACCAUAUAUGCAAACAAUACAGAGUUGUCAAUUAACUCCAUGAAAGUUUAUUUUUACCAGAAAAUUAUAUUUCUGAAGAGACCAUUCAGGUAAUAAAGUAAUUAGAGAAAGGCAUGGGAGACGGACAUGAAAAUUAUAGUAUUUGCAUUCUGAAAGGAAGAGACUACACUCAAGACAUCUGCAACCACCAAAGCUAAGGAUUAAAAAGAACACCCACUUUGCUAAGUUUUAUGACAAAUUGAUAUAAGAAGAUUUCCCUAGCUCCACCACAAAUUGUAAGAUUCUAGUAUCAUUGUAUUCUUUAUAUUUGGUUUGAAAUAGCAAAUGUGAAAAUAUAGUCCCUGGCAAGGACUAAAUGUUCAAAAACCGUUUGUUUUUAUAUUUUCUGCAUAUUUUGCCUGCCAUGUAUCUAACCACCUAUGUAUCCAUCUAACUAUUCUACUUUUGAAUUUCUUUCUCAUUUUGUCUAACCAUGUACUUCUAUCUUCCAUUUGCUCAAAUAUGAAAAUCAAGGAAAGGUGGCAAAAUGGAACUUGGAUCACUGUUUCAUAUAAUAAAAUAGGUGAAAUUCUGUUGCCUGGGACUAUGCCUUAAAAAAAGCUGCCCAAGUAGGGAUCCAAGAAAACAGAAAGAUAGUUGACUGGCCAGAAACUAAUCCAAGUUGCCUGUUCUAAAUUUUUUUU
Molecule: long non-coding RNA, 1255 nt
Organism: Sapajus apella (tufted capuchin)
Lineage: Eukaryota; Metazoa; Chordata; Mammalia; Primates; Cebidae
Exons: 2
Source: RefSeq, a predicted model, not a curated record